This 494-nucleotide ribosomal RNA is filed under the name uncultured Klebsiella sp. RNAcentral's name for it is "bacterial SSU rRNA". It matches the Rfam family "Bacterial small subunit ribosomal RNA", at positions 8 to 518 of the family's 1533-position model. Lineage: Bacteria; Pseudomonadati; Pseudomonadota; Gammaproteobacteria; Enterobacterales; Enterobacteriaceae. The record is from RNAcentral.
AGAGUUUGAUCCUGGCUCAGAUUGAACGCUGGCGGCAGGCCUAACACAUGCAAGUCGAGCGGUAGCACAGAGAGCUUGCUCUCGGGUGACGAGCGGCGGACGGGUGAGUAAUGUCUGGGAAACUGCCUGAUGGAGGGGGAUAACUACUGGAAACGGUAGCUAAUACCGCAUAACGCCGCAAGACCAAAGUGGGGGACCUUCGGGCCUCAUGCCAUCAGAUGUGCCCAGAUGGGAUUAGCUAGUAGGUGGGGUAAUGGCUCACCUAGGCGACGAUCCCUAGCUGGUCUGAGAGGAUGACCAGCCACACUGGAACUGAGACACGGUCCAAACUCCUACGGGAGGCAGCAGUGGGGAAUAUUGCACAAUGGGGGAAACCCUGAUGCAGCGACGCCGCGUGAGCGAUGAAGUAUUUCGGUAUGUAAAGCUCUAUCAGCAGGGAAGAAAAUGACGGUACCUGACUAAGAAGCCCCGGCUAACUACGUGCCAGCAGCCGC